GAUGAAGAACGCAGCGAAAUGCGAUAAGUAAUGUGAAUUGCAGAAUUCAGUGAAUCAUCGAAUCUUUGAACGCACAUUGCGCCCGCCAGUAUUCUGGCGAGCAUGCCUGUUCGAGCGUCAUUUCAACCAUCAAGCCCCAGGCUUGUGUUGGAGCCCUGCGGCUGCCGCAGCCUCCCAAAACCAGUGGCGGGCUCGCUAUCACACCGAGUGCAGUAGUUUACUCUUCGCUCAGGGCGUGUGGCGGGUGCUAGCCGUGAAACCCCCAACUUCUCAAGGUUGACCUCGGAUCAGGUAGGAAUACCCGCUGAACUUAAGCAUAUCAAUAAGCGGGGA
This 333-nucleotide unclassified non-coding RNA is filed under the name soil metagenome. Its description in RNAcentral is "partial contains 5.8S ribosomal RNA, internal transcribed spacer 2, and large subunit ribosomal RNA". The stretch from base 1 to 120 matches the Rfam family "5.8S ribosomal RNA", at positions 35 to 154 of the family's 154-position model. The record is from RNAcentral.